GACGAACGCUGGCGGCGUGCUUAACACAUGCAAGUCGAACGGAAAGGCCCUGCUUUUGUGGUGUGCUCGAGUGGCGAACGGGUGAGUAACACGUGAGUAACCUGCCCUUGACUUUGGGAUAACUUCAGGAAACUGGGGCUAAUACCGGAUAGGAGCUCCUGCUGCAUGGUGUGGGUUGGAAAGUUUCGGCGGUUGGGGAUGGACGCGCGGCUUAUCAGCUUGUUGGUGGGGUAGUGGCUUACCAAGGCUUUGACGGGUAGCCGGCCUGAGAGGGUGACCGGCCACAUUGGGACUGAGAUACGGCCCAGACUCCUACGGGAGGCAGCAGUGGGGAAUAUUGCACAAUGGGCGGAAGCCUGAUGCAGCAACGCCGCGUGCGGGAUGACGGCCUUCGGGUUGUAAACCGCUUUCGCCUGUGACGAAGCGUGAGUGACGGUAAUGGGUAAAGAAGCACCGGCUAACUACGUG
This 468-nucleotide ribosomal RNA is filed under the name uncultured bacterium. RNAcentral describes it as "partial 16S ribosomal RNA". It matches the Rfam family "Bacterial small subunit ribosomal RNA", at positions 28 to 507 of the family's 1533-position model. The record is from RNAcentral.